RNAcentral lists this unclassified non-coding RNA (303 nucleotides) under Hevea brasiliensis (rubber tree). The record is from RNAcentral. Lineage: Eukaryota; Viridiplantae; Streptophyta; Magnoliopsida; Malpighiales; Euphorbiaceae.
CUCGGAUCCGUCGCCGGCGUAAAUCGCCCCCAUCCGGCCGAUCCUCCCCGAUCGCCGCCACAGAAACCCUAAUCCUCUUCCGAUUUGUCAGCGGCGAGCGAUUACCGGCCGGCGAUCAUGUUCAAUAGGCUGUUCGGGAAGCCCAAGGAGCAGGCGAAUGCCUUGGCUACGCUCGACAAGCUAAAUGAGACUCUUGAGAUGCUAGAAAAGAAGGAAAAAGUUUUACUGAAGAAGGCUGGUGCUGAAAUUGAGAAGGCUAAGGAGUUCACCAGACAGAAGAACAAAAGGGCUGCAAUACAAUGU